AACGCAAAUUGCGCUCUUUGGUAUUCCGAAGAGCAUGCUUGUUUGAGUAUCAGUAAACACCUCAACCCUUCAAGUUCUUGGAAGGUUGGAUUUGAGCAAACCCAAUUCUCUCUCUGGAGAGAGGCGGGUUGCUUGAAAUGCAGGUGCAGCUGUACAGGAACAGACUGGGCUAAAAGCAUAUCUAUUUAGGCUGCGUAUGUGCUCUCGCACAGAUGUGGACUAUUACAUUUUGCUGCAGCCACUCCAAGGUCUUCCUUUGUGCAUUCGCUGGCUGAUGCAGGAUUUUGAGAGGAUUAUCUCCUCUUUCAAAACUCGAUCUCAAAUCAAGUAAGACUACCCGCUGAACUUAA
RNAcentral lists this unclassified non-coding RNA (350 nucleotides) under uncultured fungus. Its description in RNAcentral is "partial contains 5.8S ribosomal RNA, internal transcribed spacer 2, and large subunit ribosomal RNA". The stretch from base 1 to 52 matches the Rfam family "5.8S ribosomal RNA", at positions 103 to 154 of the family's 154-position model. Lineage: Eukaryota; Fungi. The record is from RNAcentral.